This 492-nucleotide ribosomal RNA is filed under the name uncultured bacterium. Its description in RNAcentral is "partial 16S ribosomal RNA". It matches the Rfam family "Bacterial small subunit ribosomal RNA", at positions 29 to 507 of the family's 1533-position model. The record is from RNAcentral.
AGUGAACGCUGGCGGUAGGCCUAACACAUGCACGUCGAACGGCAGCACAGUAAGCGCUUGCUCUUACGGGUGGCGAGUGGCGGACGGGUGAGGAAUACAUACGAAUCUACUUUUUCGUGGGGGAUAACGUAGGAAAACUUACGCUAAUACCGCAUACGACCUACUGGUUAAAUCAGGAGAUCUUCAGACAUUUCGCGAUUGAAUGAGCCGAUGGCGGAUUAGCUAGUUGGCGGGGUAAAGGCCCACCAAGGCGACGAUCCGUAGCUGGUCUGAGAGGAUGAUCAGCCACACUGGAACUGAGACACGGUCCAGACUCCUACGGGAGGCAGCAGUGGGGAAUAUUGGACAAUGGGCGCAAGCCUGAUCCAGCCAUACCGCGUGGGUGAAGAAGGCCUUCGGGUUGUAAAGCCCUUUUGUUGGGAAAGAAAAGCAGCAGGUUAAUACCCCGCUGUUCUGACGGUACCCAAAGAAUAAGCACCGGCUAACUUCGUG